Molecule: long non-coding RNA, 371 nt
Organism: Vicugna pacos (alpaca)
Lineage: Eukaryota; Metazoa; Chordata; Mammalia; Artiodactyla; Camelidae
Source: RefSeq, a predicted model, not a curated record
GCCGCCCCUUGCCUUCUUCCCUGGGGCGCAGGCCGGGGUCGCGGAGAGUGCGCACGUGCACCCCAAGCAUGGCACAGGUGCCCAGCACCUGCCUGAUCCCAGGUGCUUGGGCCCCGGGUGUGAGCUCUUGUCACCACUGCAGGCUGGCCUCUGGUCCGGUGCCCUGCCCUCAGUAUGCCUGUCUCCAGGUGACCCACAGAAGCCCCGUAUGCAGACAUUUCUGAGACUUGAAUCCCUGGAGCCCAGGAUGACAGCCUCCCAGAUCGCUCUGAAGGAUUGCUCCAAAGAGGUACGGGAGGAGCCAGGCUAUUAUGGGAGUUUUACAACAAAGACCCUGUAGUCAGAACAUUAAAAAUUACUGUUAAAGAAAA